GCAGUCCCUCUGCUUUGAUUGCUGUGUCCCUUUGGUAGUGAUUUUGGAGGGGAAUCCCAGAGCCAUUUGGUUUGAAGGGGACCUUCAAAGGCCAGCCUGUCUUCCGUGGGCAGGGACACCUUCCACUGUCCCCGGUUGCUCCGAGUCCCGUCCAGCCUGGCCUGGAACACGUGCAGGGAUGGGGCAGGCUCAGCUUCCCUGUGCAGUGUGCUCUAAUAUCUCUCCACUGGCAUCCUGAAAAAUGUUGUCAGCGUGUUUUGUUGGCCGACGGUAAGCAGGACCUGGGUGAAAAGGACAUUCUCUGAGGUGCUGGGAGAAGGAGGACUCGUGCGGGCACCUCCAGAGACAGCGGGAAUGGGAGCGUGCUGCGGAGAAGGAAAAUUCCAGGGGAAUUGCCACGAGAGGAAAUACUUCAGAGGGGCUUCCCUCCAGCUAAGCCCUGAAUAUGCCAGGAGGUUUCAGCCGGGAGGAAAGGAGCUGUGGAAGAAAAGCAGCCUAAAAAUAGCCAGCGGGGAUCAUCAGGUUUUCCAGCCAAGAAGAACAAGGAGAGAGAUGAGGGAAUCGGGUUCCAAUUCCUAAUGAUUUGGUGGGUGCAGGAAUGAUUUGUGUGUGUUUUCCAGUCCCUUUUGAUUCCUGAGAUGAUUUGAAAAUGAUGGCUUUAGCAAUCAACUAAAUCGGAGGUGUUGUUUUUGAGAGGAAAUGAUGCCAAAUAAAUGCAGAGUUUUGGGUCAGUUUUUGGGAUGAUUUGAGUCAGUUUUUGGGGUCAGUUUGGGGUCAUUGUUUGGGGUGAUUUGGGUCAGUUUUGGGUCAGCUUUUGGGGUGAUUGGGGUCAGUUUUGGGUCAGCUUUUGGGAUGAUUUGGGUCAGGUUUUGGGGUCAGUUUUGGGUCAGCUUUUGGGGUGAUUUGGGUCGGUUUGGGGUCAAUUUUUGGGGAGCACUGGGUGUUACUGGGGGUUGUUGGGGAGCACUGGGUGUUUACUGGGGAGCACUGGG
Molecule: long non-coding RNA, 992 nt
Organism: Pseudopipra pipra
Lineage: Eukaryota; Metazoa; Chordata; Aves; Passeriformes; Pipridae
Exons: 2
Source: RefSeq, a predicted model, not a curated record